This 256-nucleotide ribosomal RNA is filed under the name uncultured bacterium. RNAcentral's name for it is "partial 16S ribosomal RNA". It matches the Rfam family "Bacterial small subunit ribosomal RNA", at positions 524 to 778 of the family's 1533-position model. The record is from RNAcentral.
GACGAACCGUGCAAACGUUGUUCGGAAUCACUGGGCUUAAAGGGCGCGUAGGCGGGGUGGUAAGUCUGUGGUGAAAUCCUCCGGCUCAACCGGAGAAUGGCCGUGGAUACUGCCGCCCUCGAGGGGUGUAGGGGCAUGCGGAACUUCGGGUGGAGCGGUGAAAUGCGUAGAGAUCCGAAGGAACGCCGGUGGCGAAAGCGGCGUGCUGGACACCUACUGACGCUGAGGCGCGAAGGCUGAGGGGAGCGAACGAGGA